This 370-nucleotide ribosomal RNA is filed under the name uncultured bacterium. RNAcentral's name for it is "bacterial SSU rRNA". It matches the Rfam family "Bacterial small subunit ribosomal RNA", at positions 28 to 391 of the family's 1533-position model. The record is from RNAcentral.
GACUAACGUUGGCGGCGUGCAUAAUACAUGCAAGUCACACGGGCCACGCAAGUGGCUAGUGGCGAACGGGUGAGUAACACGUGGAUGAUCUACCCUUAAGAUCGGGAUAACUAGCCGAAAGGUUAGCUAAUACCGGGUAUGACCACGUCCAGUAUCGUCUGGAUGGGGUAAGAGCCGGGGACCGCAAGGCCUAGCGCUUAAGGAUGAGUCCGCGGCUGAUUAGCUAGUUGGCGGGGUAAUGGCCCACCAAGGCGACGAUCAGUAGCCGGCCUGAGAGGGUGACCGGCCACACUGGGACUGAGACACGGCCCAGACUCCUACGGGAGGCAGCAGUAGGGAAUUUUCCACAAUGGGCGAAAGCCUGAUGGAG